This 178-nucleotide ribosomal RNA is filed under the name Leptopelis kivuensis (Kisenyi forest treefrog). RNAcentral describes it as "partial 16S ribosomal RNA". The record is from RNAcentral. Lineage: Eukaryota; Metazoa; Chordata; Amphibia; Anura; Arthroleptidae.
GCCCCAAAUUUAGCUUCUAAUAUUCUAAUGUAAGCCUUUUUCAAACAAAUAUAAAUAAAACAUUUCAACAGUUUAGUAAGUGUGACUAAAAAACCACUACAAGCUAUAAAUCAAGUACCGCAAGGGAACAUUGAAAUAGAAAUUAAAUAAACUUAAAGCACAAAAAAGUAGAGAUAGA